This 575-nucleotide small RNA is filed under the name Pan troglodytes (chimpanzee). Its description in RNAcentral is "processed transcript". Lineage: Eukaryota; Metazoa; Chordata; Mammalia; Primates; Hominidae. The record is from RNAcentral.
UGGCCAUCGCUUCCGGAAGUUGUGAGCUUUGUUUCGGAGCGGGAGCUCUUCCGAGACGCACUGGGGGCUGGAUGUAGAAUCCUGCUUAUCUGUGAAAUGCAGUUAACACAUCAGCUGGACCUAUUUCCCGAAUGCAGGAUUGUUGAUCCAUUUCAGAUACUUGUGGCAGCAAACAAAGCAGUUCACCUCUACAAACUGGGAAAAAUGAAGACAAGAACUCUAUCUACUGAAAUUAUUUUCAACCUUUCCCCAAAUAACAAUAUUUCAGAGGCUUUGAAAAAAUUUGGUAUCUCAGCAAAUGACACUUCAAUUCUAAUUGUUUACAUUGAAGAGGGAGAAAAACAAAUAAAUCAAGAAUACCUAAUAUCUCAAGUAGAAGGUCAUCAGGUUUCUCUGAAAAAUCUUCCUGAAAUAAUGAAUAUUACAGAAGUCAAAAAGAGAUGUGGUCUCACUAUGUUGCCCAGAUUGGUCUCAAAAUCCUGGACUCAAGUGAUGCUUCUGCUGCGCCUCCCAAAGCGCUGGAAUUACAGGCAUGAGCCACUGAGCCCAGCUGGUUAUUGUUUCUGUUUUUAAAU